CCUACGGGUGGCUGCAGUCGAGAAUCAUUCACAAUGGGGGAAACCCUGAUGGUGCGACGCCGCGUGGGGGAAUGAAGGUCUUCGGAUUGUAAACCCCUGUCAUGUGGGAGCAAAUUAAAAAGAUAGUACCACAAGAGGAAGAGACGGCUAACUCGGUGCAAGCAGCCGCGGUAAUACAGAGGUCUCAAGCGUUGUUCGGAAUCACUGGGCGUAAGGCGUGCGUAGGCUGUUUCGUAGGUCGUGUGUGAAAGGCGCGGGCUCAACCCGCGGACGGCACAUGAUACUGCGAGACUAGAGUAAUGGAGGGGGAACCGGAAUUCUCGGUGUAGCAGUGAAAUGCGUAGAUAUCGAGAGGAACACUCGUGGCGAAGGCGGGUUCCUGGACAUUAACUGACGCUGAGGCACGAAGGCCAGGGGAGCGAAAGGGAUUAGAUACCCGGGUAGUC
This 446-nucleotide ribosomal RNA is filed under the name uncultured bacterium. Its description in RNAcentral is "partial 16S ribosomal RNA". It matches the Rfam family "Bacterial small subunit ribosomal RNA", at positions 338 to 795 of the family's 1533-position model. The record is from RNAcentral.